RNAcentral lists this ribosomal RNA (433 nucleotides) under uncultured bacterium. RNAcentral's name for it is "partial 16S ribosomal RNA". It matches the Rfam family "Bacterial small subunit ribosomal RNA", at positions 29 to 507 of the family's 1533-position model. The record is from RNAcentral.
AACGAACGCUGGCGGCAUGCCUAACACAUGCAAGUCGAACGAGACCUUCGGGUCUAGUGGCGCACGGGUGCGUAACGCGUGGGAACCUGCCCUUAGGUUCGGAAUAACUCCCCGAAAGGGGUGCUAAUACCGGAUAAUGUCUUCGGACCAAAGAUUUAUCGCCUUUGGAUGGGCCCGCGUUGGAUUAGCUAGUUGGUAGGGUAAAAGCCUACCAAGGCGACGAUCCAUAGCUGGUCUGAGAGGAUGAUCAGCCACACUGGGACUGAGACACGGCCCAGACUCCUACGGGAGGCAGCAGUGGGGAAUAUUGGACCAUGGGCGGAAGGCUGAUCCAGCAAUUCCGCGUGAGUUAUUAAGGCCUUAGGGUUUGAAAGCUCUUUUACCCGGGAUUAUUAUUACAGUACCGGGAGAAUAAGCCCCGGCUAACUUCGUG